RNAcentral lists this ribosomal RNA (433 nucleotides) under uncultured bacterium. RNAcentral's name for it is "partial 16S ribosomal RNA". It matches the Rfam family "Bacterial small subunit ribosomal RNA", at positions 28 to 507 of the family's 1533-position model. The record is from RNAcentral.
GACGAACGCUGGCGGCAUGCCUAACACAUGCAAGUCGAGCGAGAACGUCGGGUCUAGGGGCGCACGGGUGCAUAAGGCGAGGGGACCUGAACGUGGGGUGGGAAUAACUCCCAGAAGGGGGUGCUAAUACGGGAUGAUGGCUAAUGACCCAUGAUUUAUCGACUUUGUAGGGGCCCGCGUGAGAUAAGCUAGUGGGUAGCGUAAAAGCCUACCAAGGCGACGUUACAUAGCUGGUCUGGGAGCACGGCCCGACACCCUGGGACUGGGACCCGGCGCAGACCCUCGCGGGAGGCAGCAGGGCGGAACGUUGGACACCGGGCGAAAGCCUGAUGCUGCCAGGUCGCGUGAGUGUUGAAGUCCUUAGGGUUGUAAAUCUCUGUUAACAGCGCUGAUAAUGACAGUACCGGGAGAAUAAGCGCCGGCUAACUCCGUG